Molecule: long non-coding RNA, 3173 nt
Filed under: Nasonia vitripennis (jewel wasp)
Lineage: Eukaryota; Metazoa; Arthropoda; Insecta; Hymenoptera; Pteromalidae
Description: uncharacterized LOC116738471
Source: RNAcentral
UUUGUUGUGAUACUUUUGAAGCAGCUAUGAUAACUUCUUGAAUAUCCUUCAAACCUUGCGUGUCAAAUUGGGUUUCAAAAUGCAGCUUACUAUUUAAGCGUACCAAGUAAGUUUUUUGAUUGUCUAAAAUAUUUAUAAAAUCAUCAACUGUGAAAUUCAUCUGAAAAAAGUUAUUUAUUUAUGAUUUACAUACUAUACAUACAUUUAUUUCAACAUUUUAGCAUAGAUAUUUUGCGUUAUUUAAAACAAGUUUUAUAUUUUCGUUAUAUAAAACAAAUUUGUCUGUAAUAUUCAUUAAUUACUUAUAGCAAUAUUCUUUAGAAGAAUGUUUAUUCUUCUAAAGGAUUUUAUAAAUUAGACGCAAUACAUAACCUCUUUCGUCGUUAUUCGGUUUCGCAUGAGUUCACGCUUACAUUUGCACGGCGAGUUAUUAUUAAUAAAACAUAAUAAGAUAUUAUUGGCGUUCAUUUACCGUUUACUUGAAGAUGAUGUAUAAAUAAAUUGCUGAUUUGCGUGGGUGCUUUCUCGUUCUGGAAAGAUUUCGAUUCGGGUCCCAUUGCUCGAUCUGUGAAAUCCACCAACUCCGGUAAAGUUCACGAAUUCGGGAAUUUUACUCGAGAGUCGUCGCGCUACUCUCGGUAAAAUCACACCGCUGAGCAUGGGAAAAAUACCGACGAUAUAGAGGGACCCCCGCUCAACGUGGUAAUGUUACAGUCACAUGUCACUUUACGUCGUUGAAGCAUGUGAUUUCGUACAUGAAAAUGGCAAUCUUCCGCAAAACUUUUUACAGUGUAGGCGAGCUGAUUACCGCGAUGGUGACUGAUGAGUAUGCCAUGUGACUAUGUGAGGUUUGAGGUUAUAAGUAUAUUAAAUUUCAUCGAGACAAAAGUGAUUACACGACAAUUACAUUACAAAUAGUGGUUCAAAAUCUGUUAUUUUGAUACUGGACUCGCGUCAGAGUCCCACUAAAAAAUGAGUAACCAAAAUCUCGACUGCGUAUUAAUUUUGGAAGAUGAAUCCUCCAAUUCUUCAUACACUUUGCACGUCAGCCAUGAUGUGCAUGAUAAAGCAACUAGAGAUUUAUCGUUUGCAACAAGGCUUUUGCAAUCGCACAAAGCAAGUAUAGCUGAACAAGCAUCCAAUGCAGUACAGACCAACAUGGUUCCACAAACUUCUAAUGCUUGUCAUGUAAAUAAUUUAAUUCCAUUACAACUGUUUGAAGAACAAACUGGUCAGUUACUGCUUACUACUCUCUUUUGAAGAUCACGAACGUGCAUCGACUGAUGCAGUAUUUGCUGAUGGUAGAAUGUGAAGUCCCAAGUACGCAGGAGGGAGAAGAAGAAAGUACUAGGUAUCCAAAACGCCCAAUAAGUGAGCCCCAGAAAUACGCGAUUUUUGGAGUCGGAUCCGAGGCGAUGAUUCAACCCCUAGCAGCAAGUGCCCGAUGUUCUAGCUUACCUAUAUUUGCGUAUUUUUUCGUUCUCUUCAAUUCUCCGUAGGUUUGUAUAAUGAGAAAACAUGCAAAGGUACUGAAAACGCCCGAUAAAUGAGCCCCAGAAAUUCGUGAUUUUCCACGUCAGAUUUGAGACGAUACUUCGCCACUUAGCAGCAACUGCCCGGAGUUCUAGCUUACCUAUAUUUGCGUGUUUUUCUGCCCUUUUAAAGCCUACGUAGGUUAGAUUUACGUGAAAACCUGCAAAGGCGCCGAAAGCACCUGAUAAGUGAGCCCCAGAAAUUCGAGACGAUAAUCUCAACAUAAACACUGUAGUUUCACUUAAAUAUUCUGAGUUUUGUUCAAUUUGAUUUUGCGAAAAGAAACAGGCUCUAUUAGCUCUGACGAGUACCUUUGGACCGGGUAAUUUUUUCCAGCGUCACGGACAAGUCACGAAGAUCGUCAGACAGCAUUACAGACUUUUCAGUCUGCAAGAUCUUCAAGAUGGAUGACGAUAACUCGCUAAUCGAAGAUCAGAUGCAGAUACACCGAGAGUAUUGUAGUCGCAUAAUAAAAUAUGACUUAAAGCAGCUCUUUCAACAACUGAAGGAGGAUUCGAUAAAUAAAACAAUGAAGAAUUUAAUUAGGGAGAUUGUCAGGAUCGAUCGAGUCGCUGUGUUUUGUUGAACCAUUUUUAAUAAACCUAAGUUAUUAAAUUAUUACAAAAUGUGUCAAGCUGAGAUGUUGGCUAUGAAUUAUCACAAGUUUGAAGGCACUUCGAUGUAUUAAAAAAGCCACGCGCAGACCAAUUGCUAUGUUAUGCUAGUAAUGAACGUAUUGCAAAAGAGUUUAAGACUAAAAAUUACGAGAACCUUUACCCGAUUUAUGCCUCGAAGUUGGCGAAGAGAUUCACUGAAGUUCCCAACAAGCCUAUGACUUUGAAAGACAAAACGAGGGACCACUUCAAAUUCACAGAAUUCGUGAAGAGAAUCGGGUUCGGAUUGGAUUCGGAUUACGAGAUGUACGGAAGACCCCUGCCAUCAAUCAUAAAACGACUUGAACGAUUCAUACCAACGGUAGAGAUAUACUUUAUGAAUCAAUUGUUCGUCCAGAAGGAGCCAGUAGUGUCAAAAAAGCUAAACAUUUCAAAUUAUUACUCAAAGUAUCAAGAUGAACUGAUGGCCAUGGAAAAUGGAAAAUUUGAGGAUACUUCGAUUGCAUACAUCGAUUUAUUGUAAAAACCGGUAGACUUAUUGGCUCGAUAUGUGCGAAAAGAUAAACUAGUGCAAGAAUUCACAACUAAAAAAUACAAAACUCUUUUCCCGAUUUGUAAAUCGAUGUUAAAAAUUAAAUUUAACAAGGCUUGUGCUAGAAGAAUGUUAAUAGAAAAUGUAUCUACCGCAUUAAGUGAGAUCCUGCAGUUUGAUUCCCCCGAUCAGAUUUUCGAAAAAAUCAUUGAAUAUUUGAGUAAACAACAGAUGGACUAUAUUGACAAUUGUACCAAGAUUUAAAAUUACAUUUUACUUCACAAUUUUCGGGAUUGUUCGACCAAAAGCGAUGCUAAUUUUAAGUUUACUAGCGAAUUUAGACGCGCUUCGGUUUAAUUUUGUACUUUAGAGUUUUUUAGAUAUGUGUGCAUCAUUUUUGGUAUAAAAGUAAAAUUUUCUUUUGGAAAACAUAUAAUUAUUGUAGAAUAAUUCAUAUAAUUUUGCAAAAUACAUUGAGUGAUCAAUAAAUUAAA